Hibiscus syriacus is the source of this 1115-nucleotide long non-coding RNA. RefSeq lists it as uncharacterized. NCBI's taxonomy places the organism in Eukaryota, Viridiplantae, Streptophyta, Magnoliopsida, Malvales, Malvaceae. The transcript is spliced from 2 exons. The record is from RefSeq and is a predicted model, not a curated record.
UAUCUUUCAUUUUUGCCUUUCUAAAAAUUCCAGCAUCUUAAUUCUUUAUUUCUCUAUCCUUUCUUCAUCCUUUUCUUAUACAUUUCGUUCAUCACCUUAACAUACAACCCCACCAUCACCCUUACUUCCAAGUAAGUUUGUUACAGAGGAAUUGUUUACUUCGUUCUAGAUCCGGUACAAUCGAAGAGGUCCUCAAUCGACGGGCUGACUCAUAUCAUAUGGUAAUCAGAGCAAAAAGGUGAACCAAGUAAGAAAUUCAUCUUGAAAAAAAAGAAUUUCGAAAAUUAAAAAAAAACAAAACAAAAUUCCGAAAAUUAAAAUUAUAAAAGAAAAGAAAAGAAAAGUUCUGGUCUUGAGAUGAAGAGAAAUGCUAUGAUCUUGUGUUCUUCAAUAUUGAAUUGCUUUCAGCUUUGAUUCAACCCAAAACGCAGCGUCUUUGAUUGUAUUGGUGACAGUCUCGUUCCGACACACUUGACAGAUUUUGAAAGAUCGAAUUUAGUUCGUAAAAGAACUGACUACGAGUGGAAAAGGCACAUUGAGCGUAUGAGAUUAGAAGGGGAGACAGAAAGAGCCAUUAAAAGUUUCUCCCGAGUGUAAACACGAGUGUUGAACGACAUUUUAAAUUUUCUUUGGAGUGAAUUCGUGAGAUCUAUUUUUCAUUUUUUUAUUACUAAUAAUGUCUUGUACUUCAACAGGCAAUUCUCAUAUUUCAGGAGGUAACGAUCGUCAAGCACCAAACUUGGAAAUACAAGCCAUGACACAAGAGAUAAGGAGUUUGUUUCAAAAGCAUCUUGAGCCAAUCUCAAGAAAAUUGGUCCAAAUUAUAGAACGACGUUCUUGUUCACAAACGCGUCCAACGAAGAUCAAUACACAACUAAAAAGGAGAGACGACAUUCAAUCCUUUUCUAGUUCUACACCUAAUUGCAGUAGAAGAUCUUAUAAAGAGGAUCCCAAUUUUUGAAACAAUGCCAAAAGCUCAACGCUAAGAGAGCCAAGGAAUUUUGCAUGUUUCAAUCCAGAAAAUCUAGCUCGUUUUCAAGAGUGUGUUGACAAUCUCGUCAAAGAAACACAAUUGCAAAGACAACUAGAAAAAGGAAUUGUUUGCAAAAAAGAAG